Molecule: unclassified non-coding RNA, 761 nt
Filed under: Hevea brasiliensis (rubber tree)
Lineage: Eukaryota; Viridiplantae; Streptophyta; Magnoliopsida; Malpighiales; Euphorbiaceae
Source: RNAcentral
GGCUUACGGGGAGCAUUAACCUCACCAGUAAUUUCACCUUGUUUCUUGAAGAGGGUGCCGUUAUUCUAGGCUCUCAGGACCCAAAGGAAUGGCCUAUUGUAGAGCCUUUGCCUUCUUAUGGAAGAGGGAGGGAGAGACUAGGAGGAAGACAUAUUAGCCUUAUUCAUGGAAAUGGCCUUACCAAUGUUGUCAUUACAGGGCCANNNNNNNNNNNACAAUUGAUGGUCAGGGGAAGAUGUGGUGGGAGUUAUGGUGGAACAGAACAUUGAAGCACACCAGAGGACACCUUGUAGAACUAAUGAACUCUCAUAAUAUCCUCAUCUCCAAUCUCACUUUCCGAAAUUCUCCAUUUUGGACCAUACACCCUGUUUACUGCAGCAAUGUUGUGGUUAAAGACAUGACAAUUUUGGCUCCCCUGAAUGCCCCGAAUACUGAUGGUAUAGACCCAGACUCGAGCACCAAUGUUUGUAUUGAGGACUGUUACAUUGAGAGUGGGGAUGAUCUUGUAGCAGUGAAGAGCGGAUGGGAUCAGUAUGGCAUCAAAAUGGCUCAUCCAAGUUCAAACAUUGUAGUGAAGAGAGUUUCGGGCACAACUCCAACUUGCUCUGGUGUUGGAAUAGGUAGCGAGAUGUCUGGAGGGAUCUUUAAUGUAACAAUUGAAGAUUUGCAUGUCUGGGAUUCAGCAGCAGGGGUGAGAAUAAAAACUGAUAUAGGCAGAGGAGGAUAUAUAGCAAAUAUUACUAUAAGUAAUAUAACAAUGG